Molecule: transfer RNA, 71 nt
Filed under: Patescibacteria group bacterium
Lineage: Bacteria
Description: tRNA-His
Rfam family: tRNA
About the family: Transfer RNA (tRNA) molecules are approximately 80 nucleotides in length. Their secondary structure includes four short double-helical elements and three loops (D, anti-codon, and T loops).
Source: RNAcentral
GUGGCUAUGGUGUAAUGGCAGCACGAGAGUUUGUGGAACUCUUAGAGGCGGUUCAAGUCCGCUUAGCCACC